CUUCAGAGUUGGAAGCAACCUCGGAGACCACGAGACCAACCUCUCACACAGUACAGGUGUCCAUCUGCACCACACCCAGAAGGUGUCAAGGUCAGCUCCUUUAGCUUCCUGCCCAGCAGCCUACUCCACGUGCAGCCUUUGGUGACACAGACGACUUCAAACAUGUCUGAUCACUGAGCUAACUGUCGAAGUGUGAUAUUUAAAGUAACUUCUUAUGAUUGCUAACAGAUUGCAUGGCGACAUGGGUCAUGCACAGUGUGAUCAGCACUGAGCUAACUGCUGCCAAUCCUCCCCUCCCCGCCAAGGAAGACCAGCCCCGAGCCAACAUCCAUGCCCAUCUUCCUCCACUUUACAUGCGGGACACCUACCACAGCAUGGCGUGCCAAGUGGUGCCAUGUCCGCACCCGGGGUCUGAACCAGCGAACCCCAGGCCGCCAGGGCGGAACGUGCGCGCUUAACCCCUGCGUCACCAGGCCGGCCCUGUGGAAAAAUUCUUGAGAAUGGAAUUUUGAAGUCAGGAAGACUGAAUGAAGUCCUUGUGUCUAUCCAUCAAGAAAGUAUAUCCAAAGAAAACGGAGGGUUUUAUGUAUAUGCGGAUGAAGAAAGCUCAAUUUGAAAAAGUUAGGAUACUUUGAAAAUGUGGAUUUGUCAUUCAUAAAAACGUUUUCUUGAAGCGUUCUUGAAGUUCCUUACCAGGUGCCAAAGGAAAGAAGCCUCGCAGGACUGGAGACAGUUUACCUGAAGCCACAUGCACUGGGAAUGCGGAGCACACUGGAAGUGGCUCUCUAGUCAAACGAGGUCCUUCCAUGAAGAGUAGUUGGCAUGUUUUGAAGCAGGUUAUGGAGGAAUUGGCAGCCUUGCCAUUCACUCAGCAAGUCACUCGAUGAAACUACAGACAUCUUUCAAUGUAUCCCCUUCCUUAUUUUGUUCAUGACAACCCUGCUAACAUGAACGAGGAAGAAUUCUUGUUCUGUGGGCGCCUUUGGAAAUGAUAAAGACUGCUGAUGUUUUGGAAAUGGUAUAAAGGUUUCUUUUUUUUGUUUUUUGUUUUUGUCAAACAAACCUGACUGGACGGAAAAGCUUCCUAUCCUUGCACAGGAGUUCUCGCAAUGCGUUCCUGCUUGGUUGCACAUCCAAUGUUGCUCCUUCAGGGAAAAAAGGAGCAGUUCAUAUUGUUUUCACUUGCCGUAGUUAAUGCAGAUGUGUUCUGGCUCUUCCAAAAGUCCUAAGAGAAGUUUUGUUGACAGCCAUAAAAGUCAUCACCUUUCUCAAAGCUGGUUUCUGAAUCAUAAUAGUUUCGCAAGUUCUGUCAGGGAACAAUAGCAGAAAACGAGGCGCUUCUUUACCACAGAGAAGCUCACUGACUUUCAAUGGUAAAGUUUCACUUUUUCUGGGGGGAAAAAAAAAGGAAAUCCAUUCUUGGAACACUUUGAAAGAAAGAAUUUUGUCUGCGGGUUGGUUGGCUUACCUGGCAGAUAUUUUUAACCAUGUGAAUGAGAUGACUCUUCCAAUUCAAAGCCCUGAUAUCACCAUUAUGGAUGCUUCAGGAAACAUUACGCACUUUCUUGGCCAAGCUGCUGAGAGGAGGCUGACAUCUUUACAAACCUUCAAAUGCUGAAGGAAGUGCUUUACCUUCAUGGAGCUGAAUUACAAAAUUCUGUCAUUUUAUUUUAAAAGAGUAAUCUACAAACACCUGGAAACACUUUAGAACUCUUUCAAAAGUUAUUUCUAUCUUGAUGGUAACAAAAUUGAACCCUAGAGUCACGUUCUUUUUCUUUCUGCUAUAAACUUUGUCAAAGGUGUGGACCUGGUAAAGACGAAUUCAUUGAUCUUAGGACCAAAAGACCACUCUAACUAGAGUGUCACUCAAAAGCCUUGGAGAAGGUUGGUGUUCCUUGGGAGACACUUAUCUUUACUUUGUGAAGGAGCUGUGAAAGUUUUAAUUCCAUUUGCAACACUAUAUCUUUGAAGAUUAGAUUUUCAACACUGUUACCAUAAAGAAUAUAAAAAUCAAUUGGAUUUCCAAUAGGACACGUGCAUUAUCUUAUCAAAGACCCUUCUACUGUUUCAUGUUCUUAUUUAGGUUUAGCAAAAGUAGUCUUUGUAUGGAUACGCCU
Molecule: long non-coding RNA, 2117 nt
Filed under: Equus caballus (horse)
Lineage: Eukaryota; Metazoa; Chordata; Mammalia; Perissodactyla; Equidae
Description: lncRNA (ENSECAG00000045194.1)
Source: RNAcentral